UACGGAGGAUCCGAGCGUUAUCCGGAUUUAUUGGGUUUAAAGGGAGCGUAGGCGGGUUGUUAAGUCAGUUGUGAAAGUUUGCGGCUCAACCGUAAAAUUGCAGUUGAUACUGGCAUCCUUGAGUACAGUAGAGGUAGGCGGAAUUCGUGGUGUAGCCGUGAAAUGCUUAGAUAUCACGAAGAACUCCGAUUGCGAAGGCAGCCUGCUGGACUGUAACUGACGCUGAUGCUCGAAAGUGUGGGUAUCAAACAGG
RNAcentral lists this ribosomal RNA (253 nucleotides) under uncultured bacterium. Its description in RNAcentral is "partial 16S ribosomal RNA". It matches the Rfam family "Bacterial small subunit ribosomal RNA", at positions 524 to 776 of the family's 1533-position model. The record is from RNAcentral.